AGAAGGUUAUUUUAAUUAUUUUUUUUGGUUUUUCAAACAAGUGAUGUAAUCAAGUCAACACUAUCCUAAGAUUACCUUAGAUCUAGAUAGCUCCUAACUGCCAAGGUCACCUUCGAGCACUCCAAGUAAAAGAUUAGCCACUCAAUUGGCUAAAUAAGUGUAAGGUUGGUAUGGAUCUCUCCGUUGCUUUUUUUAGAUACUAACUAAGUUGGCC
Molecule: long non-coding RNA, 214 nt
Filed under: Elaeis guineensis (African oil palm)
Lineage: Eukaryota; Viridiplantae; Streptophyta; Magnoliopsida; Arecales; Arecaceae
Description: long non-coding RNA (EGUI_LNC036297)
Source: RNAcentral